This 253-nucleotide ribosomal RNA is filed under the name uncultured bacterium. Its description in RNAcentral is "partial 16S ribosomal RNA". It matches the Rfam family "Bacterial small subunit ribosomal RNA", at positions 524 to 776 of the family's 1533-position model. The record is from RNAcentral.
UACGUAGGGGGCAAGCGUUGUCCGGAAUCAUUGGGCGUAAAGCGCGCGUAGGCGGCCCGGUAAGUCCGUUGUGAAAGUCAAAGGCUCAACCUUUGAGCGCCGAUGGAUACUGCCGGGCUAGAGUCCGGAAGAGGCGAGUGGAAUUCCUGGUGUAGCGGUGGAAUGCGCAGAUAUCAGGAGGAACACCAAUAGCGAAGGCAGCUCGCUGGGACGGUACUGACGCUGAGGCGCGAAAGCGUGGGGAGCGAACAGG